CACAGACUGUCCCUCCUUGAUCUCGAUCAAAGCUGCAACAUAGGUCUCCUCGUCCUUCUUAAAUCCUUUCUUCAAUUGAAUAGCAGACAUCAUCUCAGGUUGUCCCUUACCACCAUCCUUUGCCCUCAAAGCUUGCACGAAGCAAGGUUGCUUCUCUUCCAACACCAUCAACCCACCAAGGUGUGGGAUCAGGGCCACCUUGGCCCUUAAGAGAAAGUCUACACCAAUGAUCAAGUCAAAAUCGUCCAAAGGUACACAGAGUAAACUACACGUACCCUUCCAGUCACCGAUCUGCAUAGGGACAUUCUUGGCUACCCCGUGAAUCUUCUGGGCUUUGCUAUUGACUGCCUUGAUCCGACUGGUGUCCUCCUCCAAUUUAAGUCCCAACCUGGUUGCUUCUCUAGUGGCAACGAAAUUGUGAGUGGCACCAUUGUCCACCAAGGCCUUCACUUGCA
Molecule: long non-coding RNA, 455 nt
Filed under: Vitis vinifera (wine grape)
Lineage: Eukaryota; Viridiplantae; Streptophyta; Magnoliopsida; Vitales; Vitaceae
Description: long non-coding RNA (VVIN_LNC004999)
Source: RNAcentral